UACGUAGGGGGCAAGCGUUGUCCGGAUUUACUGGGCGUAAAGAGCGCGCAGGCGGUCGUUCAAGUCGCGUGUGAAAGCCCCCGGCUCAACUGGGGAGGGUCACGCGAUACUGAUCGACUCGAAGGCAGGAGAGGGUAGUGGAAUUCCCGGUGUAGUGGUGAAAUGCGUAGAUACCGGGAGGAACACCAGUGGCGAAGGCGGUUACCUGGAGCUUUGCUGACGCUGAUGCGCGAAAGCGUGGGGAGCGAUCCGG
Molecule: ribosomal RNA, 253 nt
Filed under: uncultured bacterium
Lineage: Bacteria
Description: partial 16S ribosomal RNA
Rfam family: Bacterial small subunit ribosomal RNA
Source: RNAcentral